GCAGUAGGGAAUCUUCCACAAUGGGCGCAAGCCUGAUGGAGCAACGCCGCGUGAGUGAAGACGGUCUUCGGAUUGUAAAGCUCUGUCCUUAGGGAAGAACCGUGGAUGUAGUUAAUGACAUCCAUCUGACGGUACCUUUGGAGGAAGCACUGGCUAACUACGUGCCAGCAGCCGCGGUAAUACGUAGAGUGCAAGCGUUGUCCGGAAUUAUUGGGCGUAAAGGGUACGCAGGCGGAUAAUCAAGUCAAGCGUGAAAGGUGUCGGCUUAACCGACAGACUGCGUUUGAAACUGAUUAUCUUGAGUGUAACAGAGGAGAGUGGAAUUCCUAGUGUAGCGGUGAAAUACGUAGAUAUUAGGAAGAACACCAGUGGCGAAGGCGACUCUCUGGGUUAACACUGACGCUGAGGUACGAAAGCUGGGGGAGCGAACGGGAUUAGAUACCCCGGUAGUCCCAGCCGUAAACGCUGGAUACUAGGUGUUGGAGGUUCGAAUCCUUCAGUGCCGGAGUUAACGCAUUAAGUAUCCCGCCUGGGGAAUACGAUCGCAAGAUUGAAACUCAAAGGAAUUGACGG
Molecule: ribosomal RNA, 573 nt
Filed under: uncultured Bacillota bacterium
Lineage: Bacteria; Bacillati; Bacillota
Description: bacterial SSU rRNA
Rfam family: Bacterial small subunit ribosomal RNA
Source: RNAcentral